AUGGGAGGCCAAGUGAUCCUCUCGGAACACGCUGUCCUGACCAUAAACUGCACUUACACAGCCUCAAGGUACCCCACUCUUCUCUGGUAUGUCCAAUAUCCUGGAGAAGGUCCACAAGUCCUUCUAAAAGCCAUGAAAGCCAGUGAGCAAGGAAGUAACAAAGGCUUUGAAGCCACGUAUGAUAAAGCAGCCAGCUCCUUCCACUUGGAGAAAGCCUCAGUGCAAGAGUCAGACUCGGCUGUGUACUACUGUGCUCUGAGUGACACGGUGGCAGGAACUGUAGGGGGAGCCGAGCACAAACUCAGCAGCAACAAGAGCCCUGGCUUGGUAUCUGCUUCUAGAGUCCACUGUGGUUUCCACACGGCUGUAGUGUUCACCUCUCCACUCCUCUGGGUGAUGUAA
Non-coding RNA from Fukomys damarensis (Damara mole-rat), 402 nucleotides. Lineage: Eukaryota; Metazoa; Chordata; Mammalia; Rodentia; Bathyergidae. The record is from the annotation of a RefSeq genome assembly.